AUUGAACGCUGGCGGAAUGCUUUACACAUGCAAGUCGAACGGCAGCACGGACUUCGGUCUGGUGGCGAGUGGCGAACGGGUGAGUAAUGUAUCGGAACGUGCCCAGUCGUGGGGGAUAACGUAGUGAAAAUUACGCUAAUACCGCAUACGAUCUAUGGAUGAAAGCGGGGGAUCGCAAGAACUCGCGCGAUUGGAGCGGCCGAUAUCAGAUUAGGUAGUUGGUGGGGUAAAGGCCCACCAAGCCAACGAUCUGUAGCUGGUCUGAGAGGACGACCAGCCACACUGGAACUGUGACACGGUCCAGACUCCUACGGGAGGAAGCAGUGGGGAAUUUUGGACAAUGGGCGAAAGCCUGAUCCAGCCAUUCCGCGUGCAGGAUGAAGGCCCUCGGGUUGUAAACUGCUUUUGUACAGAACGAAAAGGUUUCUACUAAUACUAGGAGCUCAUGACGGUACUGUAAGAAUAAGCACCGGCUAACUACGUGCCAGCAGCCGCCGUAA
Molecule: ribosomal RNA, 500 nt
Filed under: uncultured bacterium
Lineage: Bacteria
Description: partial 16S ribosomal RNA
Rfam family: Bacterial small subunit ribosomal RNA
Source: RNAcentral